Molecule: ribosomal RNA, 331 nt
Filed under: uncultured bacterium
Lineage: Bacteria
Description: bacterial SSU rRNA
Rfam family: Bacterial small subunit ribosomal RNA
Source: RNAcentral
UGCGUAGGCGGUGAUCCAAGUUUGGUGUGAAAUGUCCCGGCUCAACCGGGAGGGUGCGCCGAAAACUGGAUUGCUCCGAGUGUGGGAAAGGCAGGCGGAAUUCCUGGUGUAGCGGUGAAAUGCGUAGAUAUCAGGAGGAACACCGGCGGUGUAGACGGCUUGCUGGACCAUAACUGACGCUGAGGCACGAAAGCGUGGGUAGCAAACAGGGUUAGAUACCCUGGUAGUCCACGCCCUAAACGAUGCAUACUUGGUGUGGGCAGUUCAUUCUGUCCGUGCCGGAGCUAACGCGUUAAGUAUGCCGCCUGGGGAGUACGGUCGCAAGGCUGAA